This is a non-coding RNA of Hanseniaspora opuntiae, 71 nucleotides long. NCBI's taxonomy places the organism in Eukaryota, Fungi, Ascomycota, Saccharomycetes, Saccharomycodales, Saccharomycodaceae. The record is from Rfam.
UAGUUGUUAGUUAAAUGGUAUAACACCAGAUUGUAAAUCUGUUAUCAGGAGUUCGAUUCUCUUACAACUAA